Molecule: small nuclear RNA, 102 nt
Organism: Psammomys obesus (fat sand rat)
Lineage: Eukaryota; Metazoa; Chordata; Mammalia; Rodentia; Muridae
Source: RefSeq, a predicted model, not a curated record
AUAUAUAUGUAUAGUAUAGGUAUUAAAAUUGGAAUGAUUUGGAGAUUAGCAUAGCCCCUGCACAAGGAUGACAGGCAAAUCUGUGAAACAUUCCAUAUUAAA